CAUCCCACUGGAACAGUCACACCUGCUGGAAAAGUCACACCUGCUGAAAUACUAGAGCUGCUGUAAGCCCUGAGGAGCAUGUGCUUCUCCCAAAAUGUUUCAUGGACUGUUCUUUCCGCUUCCUUACAGGUUGGACACAUCCUCAUAUCAUGUCAAAAGCAGUUCUUGGAAGGAUAAAAGAAAGAGUUUGAGAGGAGUGCCAAAGCAAGAGAAUAAAAAGGUAUCUCACCAUAAGAGAAAAGUCCUAAACUCCUACUCAAAAAGUCCUAACUCCAGAGCUAAUACCAUUUCUUAAUGAGGCCACACAAGGAGAAUGUGAGUGAGGUAAGUCAUUCCAAGGAUAUUGGAAGAAAUGAGGCAUGAAAUAAAAGCCUUCCUGCACUAUCUGCUGAUCCUCA
This 398-nucleotide long non-coding RNA is filed under the name Junco hyemalis (dark-eyed junco). RNAcentral's name for it is "lncRNA (ENSJHYG00000002778.1)". The record is from RNAcentral. Lineage: Eukaryota; Metazoa; Chordata; Aves; Passeriformes; Passerellidae.